This 4326-nucleotide long non-coding RNA is filed under the name Homo sapiens (human). RNAcentral's name for it is "HSALNT0205443". Lineage: Eukaryota; Metazoa; Chordata; Mammalia; Primates; Hominidae. The record is from RNAcentral.
UCUCCCUGUUGUCCUUACCCUUUUCCUUUUGUUCUAAGAGCCCAGCACUACUCUAGCUUCUAGGGGUUAUCAGCCCACACCCCUCCAGCUAUUCCAGGUCACACAACAUCUUUCAGUCCCGACCACCACCAGGCGACACAUUAACACCUGCAUUUCCAAAGAACUCCAAUAGACUUUUUAUGACUUUUCACAAAAUUCUUAGUCCCCUGCUUUGUUACUAGAACAUGAAAAUUCUUCCUGAAAUCAAACCCACCUUUUGAGGGGCAGUAGAAUUUUGCUAUGAGGAAGAAAGCACACAUUCAACACAGAGAAUGAAAGUUGGGACAGGAUCACAUGCCCAGAGCAUAGCAGACGGCAAGCUCUCAGGAUGGUCAGAGUGGGAAGAGCUGGAUAUUAGCUUAAACUAUGGAAAACUUUUCAUGAAGAGGAAAAACCUGAGAGAACUUGAAAGGUUUUCCUGUUAGUGAAAAGAUCUUCAACAUCAACCCAAUAUUUAUUGUUGCUGUUUUACAAAGGAGACCGAAAGUUUCUGGGACUUAGUGCCACGGUCCCGAAACUGCAGCCACCUGGGGCACUGAAGAAUAUUUCACAUUUUUGAGAGAAACACAGCGAUGCUUGGCAUCUGUGGGACGCUAUGCAAACUACCCAGUAGUUCAUUGUUUUGGCAAGAGAUUACAUUUCUAUCAGUGAUGUCAUCUCUUUCAGCAUGAUAAAAAGUACCCAUGAAUCAAUGGGGAAUAUGAAAUUAGGGUUGAGAUGUCCAAUCUGUUUCCAAGCUUGAGAAAUUGUACACUGUCCAGGAUACACACAUCCCACCAGUAAGUUAACUGUGGUGAGAAUGAAAUUAGGGAGUCUCUGAGCCUACUCUGGCUUGGGAGGCUGCCCUUGAAAAAAAAAAAAAGAAUGAAAUAAAAGUGUAACUUUUCUUUCAAUUUAUAUGUAUAAUUUUUUUCAAGUGGCUACGAAGUUGUUGGACAUAAAUCCUUAUUAAGUUAUUUGGACCUGAGUACUUAAUAAAAGGAAUUGUUCGGCAUUUCUUUUGGCCUGGGGGCAUUGGAAAAAAUUACUGAGACAGUAAGAGCUGCCUGUGAACAGAGAAAGCGAAAAACAAUUAUUAUGAGUUUGGGAAAAACCUUGCUUUACUCAGCAAGAUUGCAGCGCAAAGAAGAACUGUCAGAACAUCCAAGGAGACCAAGCGCCACAGGCUAAAUAAAGUGAAGUGAAAAUCUGUGCACACACAUCAUAGUAAGAAGAGACAGGUGAUAAAGAAGUUGGCAUUCAAAAUGAGGAUAAAGAUGUUGAAGAAGACUCUGUGUUGGAAAGAAACUGUGUAAGCUGCAGUCCUGUUUUCCAAAUGAGCUCGCGGAUUUUGGCCAACUCCAGUCUAAUUACCUAUGAUUAAAAAAACCAGCUAAUUACGAGAACUAACUAGCAGAUCUGAGAAUAAUAAAACUGAAGAGAGUAUGUUGCAUAUAGUUAUAACAGCUAAUAAAUUUUUGUGGGUUUUUUUGUUUGUUUUGAGAUGGGAGUCUUGCUCCAUUUAUUGCCCAGGCUGGUCUCGAACUCCUGGGCUCAAGGGAUCUUCCCAGGUAGCUGGGAUUACAGACACACACAACUGUGCCCCACUUCUGAUAAAAAUUUAAAUGGCUGUUAAUUAAUCUCUCCUUCAGUUUGCUCCUUGGGAUUCUGCAGUGCACAUGCAUACACACACACACACAUGCACACACACACACACAUUUUUGGGGGCCUCUGAUUUUAAUCAAUAUUUCUUUAAAGUAUUUUAAAAAUGAUGGGGGUAUGUCAAAAGGACCUAGGAACCAGUUUGAAGGGGCUCCUACUGGCCAAAACUGGGACAAUCUGAGCAUCAAAAUAAAUAAGAAUAUUAAUGGAUUAUUUACCCUUUGAAUAAAAUAAAAGUCCUUUAGUACAAUAAUUGUGUGGUGGAUGCAGGGGAGGAAUUGAGGAUUCUUAUAGCUGAAUGAAGUGUGCAGACUGACAAAUUUGGAGGUAGUGGUAGCACGGGAUAUCACCAUUUUCCAAACAUCAUAGUAAAGAUUGAUUCAGUCAAGAAUCAUCAAUGGAUGUUAAGUCUAAGGGGGGACAGUUAAACGAGGAGCAGGAUCAUUGCAUGGCCUCAAAGUAUUUCUCCACAGAUUGCUUAAACUGCACAGUGGAGAAAACGGACAAUGCCAUGAUCCGGUCAUCAAAAUUAGCAUCACCAAUGUAGGACAUUCGGUCAUCACAUGCCUUCUAUUGUGAUGCCCUGUAAAAGACACAACACACACAGUGCUCCAGGCAGGGAAGCAGAACCUAACUUUAAUCAUGGAGCAGCAUUAUACAAACCCCAAGUAAAGGUCAUCCUAGUAAAUAAAUGGCCUGUAUUAUUCAAAACUGUUAAGGUCACGAAAGCAAAGAAAAGCUGAGGAACUGUUCCAUAUGCAAGGAGGUGAAAGAAACACAACUCAGUGCAAUGUGUAAUCCCAGACUGGUUCCUAUUCUGGAGGAGAAAAUGCUUUAAAGGGUGCUAUUGGGACAACUAAUGAAAUUGGAACAUGAGCUGCAGAUUAGAUGAGUGUGUUUUAUCAGUGCUAAAUUUCCUGAAGUUGGCAACCAUAGUUAGGUAAGAAAUAUCCUUGUUUCAGGAAGUACAUACUGAACUAUUAAGGGAUGAGAGACAAUCCACUCUCAAAUAGAUUCUGAAAAUAAAUAAUAGUAUGCAUACAUAUUAUUAUAUAUGUAAACAUAUACACACAUGCAUGUGUAUAUAUGAAGAUAAUAUUAAAAAAUAGAAACAAAUAUUAAAAUUUGGCGUAUCUGAGUAAAAGGUAUAUGGAAUUCUUCUGUAUCAUUUUAUAACUUUUCUAAAAAUUUGAAACUCAGACCAAGCAUGGUGACUCACACCUAUAAUCCUAACAUUUUGGGAGGCCGAGACCAGAGGAUCGUUUGAGCCAAGGAGUUUGAGGCCAGACUGGGCAACAAUAGGGAAACUCUGUCUCUACAAAAAAAAAAAAAAACAAAUUAGGCCGGGGGAGGUGGCUCAGGCCUGUAAUCCCAGAACUUUGGGAGACCAAGGCAGGUGGGUCACAUGAGGUCAGGAGUUCAAGACCAACCUGGCCAACAUGGUGAAACCCCAUCUCUACUAAAAAUACAAAAAUUAGGCAGGUAUGGUGGCGUGGCACCUGUAAUCUCAGCUACUCAUGAGGCUGAGGCAAAAGAAUCGCUUGAACCCAGGAGGCAGAGGUUGCAGUGAGCUGAGAUCACGCCACUGCAUUCCAGCCUGGGGAACAGAGACUCUGUCUUAAAAAAAAAAAUUAAAAAAUUAGACAGGUGUGGUGGUACACACUUGUGGUCCUAGCUACUUGACUUGAAUGGCUAAGGCAGGAGAAUCGCUUGAGCCUGGGAGGGAGAAGCUACAGUGAGCUGUGAUCAUGCCAUGCACUCCAGCCUGUGUAACACAGUGAGACCCUGUCAAAAAAAAAAAAAAAUACCCUCAGAUUUGUUUUUAAAAUAAAAAAAAUAAAUAAAUAAUGUUUGGCGGUCUUCUUGAGCCAAGACAAUUUCAGUUAGAAUCAUACUAUAGCUAAGAGCUGGAAGAGAAUUUAGCAUUUAUUUCGCCUGACCACAAAUUUUACGCUAAUGCUCCGGAGACACUAAUAAGUAACUUGCUUGAGAUUACCGUAUCAGUCUUCUCGGGCUGCCAUAACAAAAUACCGUAGACUGGGUGACUUAAACAACAGAAAUUUAUUUUUUCACAUUUUGGAAGCUGGGAAGUCCAAGAUCAAGGCUUUGGAGGAUUGGGUUCCUGGUGAGGGCUCUCUUCCUGGCUUGCCGAGGCCACCCUCUCUGUGUGCCCACAUGACCUUUCCUCCGUGUGUGUAUGCGUGUGGAGAGAGAAGGCUUCCACAUCUCACAAGGCCAUCAGUCCUAUCAGAUUAGAAACCCACGCUUACAACCUCUUUAGCCUUCAUUACCUCCCAAAAACGCUACAUCCAAAUACAGUCACAUCGGGGUUAGGGUGUCAACAUAUUAAUUUUGGGGGGACAUAUUUUUUAGUCCACAGCAAUUACACAAACUGAUACAGCGCUGACUGCUGACCCAUAGAGCAUAUUCCUUACCUUGCACCAAAUACUCUUAAUAUUUUUCAUAAAGACUGUUUCAAUGAAAAAUUGGCAUGAGAAUAAAAAACCCAAACUUGAAUCUAGGGCUAGGGCCCAGUUUUCUCCUGCAGAUGCUUUUUUAUGGGCAUGUAUAUGCUUUUUGAACGAAGUUGCUUGAUGGAUACAAAGCGAUUCCUCCAAAGUUAUAUAUUAAAGUUGUAACUUAGGG